ACGGGACAACAUCAAACCCAAAUGCACCACACAUCACCUCAUGAACCUGCAGCUCCGGACACACAACUGGACUUUUAACUGUUUGGAAACACUCUGACAAGAAGAUACGCUGUAGCGAGAGGGAAGAAGCAGAGAAGAAGCUGGGAGAAUCAGAAGCAGGAGAGUGACCACUGGGUACGAAUUCAUAAAUCCUGGAAAGAGGAUCUACUUUACAAACUUGAGGUCGUCCAUCCACCAGUAUUAACCUCUCCGUCUGCAGUAUCUACAGUAAAUGUUGUCCUCUAGAGUUGUGGAGUGUGACAAUGGUGUUUGUGUCCUGUGUUUCAAACGCCAUUUUCACACUAAAUAGCUACAGUGUGAAACAGACCUCAGUAUAUUCUUCAGUUUCCUGAUUGGCUUUUUAUUUAUCCUUCUGUUUGUGGUGUUUUUGUAGCUCUGUAAUAGUUUCCUCAUUAAUUCUGUAAAGCCUAAAAACACAUAGAGGACACAUUACACCUUGCAGGAGGGGCAGAGAUGAAAAUAGAUGUGUGUUAAUACGGACCAACAUCCUACAUGAUCUUAAGCCUCUGAGUGUGACCCACUUUCUUUAGCGUUUGAGGUGCUAAUUUGCUGCUGGAGACCUUCUCCUGUAAGCAUAAAUAGAGUGCCCAUUUGUUUUCAUGCUGCAGCCAUUUCUUGUGUUGUCAUCAUUCAAACUUUUUCCAACAUGUAAACGGGUCAUCUACUAUGAUUGCACAAUGGUCUUCAUCCAUGCAAAUUGCGUAAAUAAAGUGUUUAUUUUUGUCUGUUGCUAUAGAGUGAACUUUAUCCAUUCAUGAGAAAGACGUAAUAGUCACAUU
This is a long non-coding RNA of Sander lucioperca (pikeperch), 839 nucleotides long. RefSeq lists it as uncharacterized. NCBI's taxonomy places the organism in Eukaryota, Metazoa, Chordata, Actinopteri, Perciformes, Percidae. The record is from RefSeq and is a predicted model, not a curated record. The transcript is spliced from 2 exons.